GGGUCGGGAGGCAGCCGGUGGGACGGCAGCCAGGUAUUGACCCCGUGACAACCCAUCUCGGAUGAGGAUCCCGCCGUGGCCCAGCGGCAGAGUGUC
Molecule: regulatory RNA element, 96 nt
Organism: Oceanicola granulosus HTCC2516
Lineage: Bacteria; Pseudomonadati; Pseudomonadota; Alphaproteobacteria; Rhodobacterales; Roseobacteraceae
Rfam family: Rhodo-rpoB RNA
Source: Rfam